GACGAACGCUGGCGGCGUGCUUAACACAUGCAAGUCGAGCGGUAAGGCCCUUUCGGGGGUACACGAGCGGCGAACGGGUGAGUAACACGUGGGUGACCUGCCCUCAGCUCUGGGAUAAGCCUGGGAAACUGGGUCUAAUACUGGAUAUGACUCCACGGUGCAUGUCGUGGGGUGGAAAGCCUUGUGCGGCUGAGGAUGGGCCCGCGGCCUAUCAGCUUGUUGGUGGGGUGAGGCCUACCAAGGCGACGACGGGUAGCCGGCCUGAGAGGGCGACCGGCCACACUGGGACUGAGACACGGCCCAGACUCCUACGGGAGGCAGCAGUGGGGAAUCUUGCGCAAUGGGCGAAAGCCUGACGCAGCGACGCCGCGUGAGGGAUGACGGCCU
Molecule: ribosomal RNA, 387 nt
Filed under: uncultured bacterium
Lineage: Bacteria
Description: bacterial SSU rRNA
Rfam family: Bacterial small subunit ribosomal RNA
Source: RNAcentral